RNAcentral lists this ribosomal RNA (253 nucleotides) under uncultured bacterium. RNAcentral describes it as "partial 16S ribosomal RNA". It matches the Rfam family "Bacterial small subunit ribosomal RNA", at positions 524 to 776 of the family's 1533-position model. The record is from RNAcentral.
UACGUAGGGGGCAAGCGUUGUCCGGAUUUAUUGGGCGUAAAGAGCGUGUAGGCGGCCUGAAAGGUCAGCUGUGAAAACUCGAGGCUCAACCUCGAGACGUCGGUUGAAACCAUCUGGCUAGAGUCCGGAAGAGGAGUGUGGAAUUCCCGGUGUAGCGGUGAAAUGCGCAGAUAUCGGGAAGAACACCCGUGGCGAAGGCGGUUCUCUGGGCCUUACCUGACGCUGAGGAGCGAAAGCGUGGGGAGCGAACAGG